AUUGAACGCUGGCGGCAGGCCUAACACAUGCAAGUCGAGCGGAUGACGGGAGCUUGCUCCUUGAUUCAGCGGCGGACGGGUGAGUAAUGCCUAGGAAUCUGCCUGGUAGUGGGGGACAACGUUUCGAAAGGAACGCUAAUACCGCAUACGUCCUACGGGAGAAAGCAGGGGACCUUCGGGCCUUGCGCUAUCAGAUGAGCCUAGGUCGGAUUAGCUAGUUGGUGGGGUAAUGGCUCACCAAGGCGACGAUCCGUAACUGGUCUGAGAGGAUGAUCAGUCACACUGGAACUGAGACACGGUCCAGACUCCUACGGGAGGCAGCAGUGGGGAAUGUUGGACAAUGGGCGAAAGCCUGAUCCAGCCAUGCCGCGUGUGUGAAGAAGGUCUUCGGAUUGUAAAGCACUUUAAGUUGGGAGGAAGGGCAGUAAGUUAAUACCUUGCUGUUUUGACGUUACCGGCAGAAUAAGCACCGGCUAACUCUGUGCCAGCCGCCGCUGUAA
RNAcentral lists this ribosomal RNA (500 nucleotides) under uncultured bacterium. RNAcentral's name for it is "partial 16S ribosomal RNA". It matches the Rfam family "Bacterial small subunit ribosomal RNA", at positions 30 to 523 of the family's 1533-position model. The record is from RNAcentral.